Molecule: ribosomal RNA, 496 nt
Filed under: uncultured bacterium
Lineage: Bacteria
Description: partial 16S ribosomal RNA
Rfam family: Bacterial small subunit ribosomal RNA
Source: RNAcentral
GAUGAACGCUGGCGGCGUGCCUAAUACAUGCAAGUCGAGCGAACAGACGAGGAGCUUGCUCCUCUGACGUUAGCGGCGGACGGUGAGUAACACGUGGAUAACCUACCUAUAAGACUGGGAUAACUUCGGGAAACCGGAGCUAAUACCGGAUAAUAUAUUGAACCGCAUGGUUCAAUAGUGAAAGACGGUUUUGCUGUCACUUAUAGAUGGAUCCGCGCCGCAUUAGCUAGUUGGUAAGGUAACGGCUUACCAAGGCAACGAUGCGUAGCCGACCUGAGAGGGUGAUCGGCCACACUGGAACUGAGACACGGUCCAGACUCCUACGGGAGGCAGCAGUAGGGAAUCUUCCGCAAUGGGCGAAAGCCUGACGGAGCAACGCCGCGUGAGUGAUGAAGGUCUUCGGAUCGUAAAACUCUGUUAUUAGGGAAGAACAAAUGUGUAAGUAACUAUGCACGUCUUGACGGUACCUAAUCAGAAAGCCACGGCUAACUACGUG